GGCGCGGCUUCCAAGCUCUCCAAGAUCCGAGUUGUUCGCAAAUCCAUCGCCCGUGUUCUCACAGUCAUCAACCAGACGCAGAAAGAGAACCUCAGGAAAUUCUACAAGGGUAAGAAGUACAAGCCCCUGGAUCUGCGACCCAAGAAGACACUUGCCAUGCGCCGCCGGCUGAACAAGCACGAGGAGAACCUGAAGACCAAGAAGCAGCAGCGGAAGGAGCGGCUGUACCCGCUGCGGAAGUAUGCAGUCAAAGCCUGAGCACUGGCGUCAAUAAAACACAGACAAA
Non-coding RNA from Leptonychotes weddellii (Weddell seal), 286 nucleotides. The record is from RefSeq and is a predicted model, not a curated record. Lineage: Eukaryota; Metazoa; Chordata; Mammalia; Carnivora; Phocidae.